GGGAUUGUAGUUCAAUCAAUCAGAGCACCGCCCUAUCAAGGCGGAAGGUAAAGGUUCGAGCCCCGUCAGUCCCA
RNAcentral lists this transfer RNA (74 nucleotides) under Eucalyptus grandis. It matches the Rfam family "tRNA". Rfam says of the family: Transfer RNA (tRNA) molecules are approximately 80 nucleotides in length. Their secondary structure includes four short double-helical elements and three loops (D, anti-codon, and T loops). The record is from Rfam by way of RNAcentral. Lineage: Eukaryota; Viridiplantae; Streptophyta; Magnoliopsida; Myrtales; Myrtaceae.